CGUCUCUCACUUUUUUCCUCAGUGCUUCUGAGAUACACGAGGGCAGUUAACUUUCUUUCAGUGCCAUUUUCCCCAGGCUCUUUGUGAAGAUGACUGGCACACAUUAGCCAGUCUGCUGCAGGCAGCCUUGCCUUGUCAAUUUGCUUGGUUAACUUUUGAGAUUUUGACAAUGCAGCAGAGCAUCAGAGGAGCAGUAGACACUCUUGUAGCAAGAGAGAAGCGGGGAGCUGGCCUGGUCAUGAGGAGCUGCACUGCCCCUUCUGGGCUGGAGCCGUGUCGCCUGAAACUUUUUGCAGAACAGUUUUUGCAAAGUACAGAAAGGAGUGAAUUGAAGAACUGAAGCCCUCCUCUGUCUGUAUGAUCAACUUUUGGAGAAUGUUUAAAGCUGAUGAAAGCCACAGAAGUAGCUCAAAAUCCACCAUGCCAUCAGGGCCAAACUGAAAAUGAAUUUGGAAAAAAAUGCAUUUAUUUUAUUUUGAAAGUUAUCCGCAUAGGAACUCAAAAAUCAACCUGGGCAUUUGCAGAUGCAGAAGAACUUGUUUCUUCUUCAUUAAUUUGUUUUAAAAAUAUAUUCUCCUGCCUUUCCUAAAAGGUUCAAGACAGCUUAUAGCAUAAAAGCCAACAUGUGCUGCUACAUGAGCACUGAAUUUAAGCAUAAGACCACCAAAACAGAUGAGCACAGAAGUUGAAUAUAUUGCACCAGGCAAUCAUCUAUUGCUUGAAACUUGACAAGUAUGAACUUGCCUACUACAUUCCAGAGUGGAUGAACAGCUCUGCUAUGAACAGUAACAAUGGUAUUCUGUUAGCUUUUAAUCAAUUGCCAAACUUAUUUGGGAAUUCAUCCACAUUUGUUCCUGGGUUUUGUUUCAUGCGCAUGCUCUCACCAGCAGUGCCCCAGCAUUGUUUCUCAGGGCCUGGUACAACUUCUUAACACAUGGGGAACCCUUUCAACUUCACUGCCACCACCAUCCCUUCUAUGUUUUGAAAACACAUGCAGAUUUAAUUGAUUCAUUGAAUUAAAGCUAAUUGGAUCAAUCAUGUAA
This is a long non-coding RNA of Varanus komodoensis (Komodo dragon), 1043 nucleotides long. RefSeq lists it as uncharacterized. NCBI's taxonomy places the organism in Eukaryota, Metazoa, Chordata, Lepidosauria, Squamata, Varanidae. The record is from RefSeq and is a predicted model, not a curated record. The transcript has 3 exons.